This 265-nucleotide ribosomal RNA is filed under the name uncultured bacterium. RNAcentral's name for it is "partial 16S ribosomal RNA". It matches the Rfam family "Bacterial small subunit ribosomal RNA", at positions 793 to 1055 of the family's 1533-position model. The record is from RNAcentral.
GUCCACGCCCUAAACGAUGUCAACUAGUUGUCGGGUCUUAAUUGACUUGGUAACGCAGCUAACGCGUGAAGUUGACCGCCUGGGGAGUACGGUCGCAAGAUUAAAAACUCAAAGGAAUUGACGGGGACCCGCACAAGCGGUGGAUGAUGUGGAUUAAUUCGAUGCAACGCGAAAAACCUUACCUACCCUUGACAUGUACGGAACCUUUAAGAGAUUAGAGGGUGCUCGAAAGAGAACCGUAACACAGGUGCUGCAUGGCUGUCGU